GAGGGUAGAGCUCAAGUGGUAGAGUGCAUGCUUAGCAUGCACGAGGUCCUGGGUUCAAUCCCUAGUUAUCUCC
RNAcentral lists this transfer RNA (73 nucleotides) under Camelus bactrianus (Bactrian camel). It matches the Rfam family "tRNA". From Rfam's summary of the family: Transfer RNA (tRNA) molecules are approximately 80 nucleotides in length. RNAcentral also lists the same sequence under 2 other names. The record is from Rfam by way of RNAcentral. Lineage: Eukaryota; Metazoa; Chordata; Mammalia; Artiodactyla; Camelidae.